GUGUUGCAUGGCUGUCGUCAGCUCGUGUCGUGAGAUGUUGGGUUAAGUCCCGCAACGAGCGCAACCCUCAUCCUUAGUUACCAUCAGGUAAUGCUGGGGACUUUAAGGAAACUGCUAGUGAUAAACUGGAGGAAGGUGGGGAUGAUGUCAAGUCAUCAUGGCCCUUAUGGAGUGGGCUACACACGUGCUACAAUGGUGGCUACAAUGGGCUGCAAAGUCGCGAGGCUAAGCCAAUCCCUUAAAAGCCAUCUCAAUUCAGAUUGUACUCUGCAACUCGAGUGCAUGAAGCUGGAAUCGCUAGUAAUCGUGGAUCAGCAUGCCACGGUGAAUACGUUCUCGGGUCUUGUACACACUGCCCGUCACGCCAUGGGAAUUGGU
This 378-nucleotide ribosomal RNA is filed under the name Wolbachia sp. Its description in RNAcentral is "bacterial SSU rRNA". It matches the Rfam family "Bacterial small subunit ribosomal RNA", at positions 1038 to 1415 of the family's 1533-position model. The record is from RNAcentral. Lineage: Bacteria; Pseudomonadati; Pseudomonadota; Alphaproteobacteria; Rickettsiales; Anaplasmataceae.